UACAGCACAUGCGCGGAGUCCAGCCCCAGGCUGGCGGGCAACUGUCUCACCUGCUCACCUCGUGGCUUCGGCGGGCAGCUCCGGGACAUCGGGUCUUGGCGUCUUCACUCCCAGGAGAGCAGAUCCACCGCAUCAAGGGGAGCUGUGAAAACGGAAGGCAGAGCUGAGGAUGCCUGUGCCUGGGCUCUCCUACCGGGUGUCCGUCUCUGCGAGGGGGGAAGACGGGGGAGAGCGGCGCUGCCCCCACCACCUCCCGCGGGAAGGGGACGCUGCAGGUGCCCAUCACCCAGUGAGGGUGGCAUUAGCCUGGUGGCACCACCGAGCCGCCCCGCGACCCGCUGCUCCUGCCCCUGGCGAUCUGACGUUUCAGUUUCUUUCACUUAAAUUUCAAGGGCAGCAGUCACGUGUGGUUACCAGAGCGGACAGCCCAGAAGUAGAGCAUGUCAACCUCACAGACAGUUCCACGGGGCUGUUCUAGAGGGAGCAGGUCCGGGUCUGGGGACCAGGGAGACCCCGUGGAGAGGGGGGGACUCAGGAGCCUGCUCUGUCCAGCUCAGGCCUCUGACCCAUGUCCUCCUGAUGCCUCAUUCCUAGGAGACACAUGGACGCAUUCACAGGAUGGAAACAAUCCCGGUGAGUGAUGGGCACAGAGAAGCAGGACCUGGCCUGUGCCUUCUGGGCAAAGGGGGAAUGGCUUGGGUAUGGGUCAUAUUCCAGCUCUGCCCACGCCCUGUGGACAGAGGACUUCAGCCCCCAAACCCCAGUUUUGUAAGCGGGGAAAUGACUCCUGGGCCUUGGGACUGUUAGGCACCUGAGAGAUUUGUAGGUAGGUGUGAACAUGACAAGCAGCCAGUGUGUGGUGGUAUGCCGCAGGUGCUGGAUAAAUGCACGCUGCUGCUUAUCCAGUUAUGUCUUCCCUGCUCCCCCAGGCCCGUGGACAGAGCAUGUUUACAUUCUCAUCGGGGUCUCUGCAGCCUUUCUCCUUUGUCUCCUCCUCUUGGUCCUCCUCCUCCUCCAGCGCUGGCAUCAGAGGAAACGGGGUAGGUCUCAGGGACCGGGUGGGGUGACCUGGGCAGGCUGUUUGGGGUUCUGGGAAGAAGCCUUCUCAUCUCAACUCACACCUGACUCUCCUCAGGGCCCCCCAGAAGCAAAGGCAAGGAGCCAGAGCCCCAGGAGAGGCUCAGCCCAGCUGUUGACGUCCUAGAUGGGACACCAGGUACAGACAAGGGUGGGACAGGUCUGGGAGGGGAAGGGGGCAUUCACUGCCAUCCAGGAAGCCAUGUUCA
Molecule: long non-coding RNA, 1286 nt
Filed under: Sus scrofa (pig)
Lineage: Eukaryota; Metazoa; Chordata; Mammalia; Artiodactyla; Suidae
Description: lncRNA (ENSSSCG00015065365.1)
Source: RNAcentral